This 4627-nucleotide long non-coding RNA is filed under the name Xyrichtys novacula (pearly razorfish). The record is from RNAcentral. Lineage: Eukaryota; Metazoa; Chordata; Actinopteri; Labriformes; Labridae.
AAAAAUCCUUUGAGCUUUAGUAAACUCUUCAUAAAACUCCCUUUCCCUUAAAUCUCUUUUAUGAACCGUUAUCCUUUUGUAAAAAGCUUUCAAACUUCUUUCUCCCCGACAUGUUGCAACCACUAAUCAAUCAUGGAGGGACACACCUCAACACUUGCGACCAUCAUCAGAAGGAUAAAUGGAGUCUCUUUUUGUGAACUGGUCAACGGUAAAUUUAUUUUUUAUUUAUUUUUAUUUAUUUUUGCUGACAAAAUUACACAUGCCCUAAAAUCCACCAUGGAUUACCGAGUACAACCCUAAGGAGGCCAGAAACGAUUUCCUGUUAAUUGGUGGCAUUUUUACUCUGACUUCCUGUCAACAACCCCCCAACUCUCCACCCCCAAUAUUUGCAGCUAAAUAAUAUAAUAAAUCAUCCAUAUUUCUUAAAUCUCCUUUCUUCUCACAACAAAAUGUCCUUCCACCCAUGAUAACAUAAUUCAACGCCAACAGCACACACACCCUGCAGUGGUUUCCUGCUCACUCUCAUAUUACUCACCAGCCUUCCCACUUUCAACAAAGAGUGGGGUCACAACCUGUCUGAGCUUCACUCUGCCUGGGGGCCAUGAUGGCCCUGCUGGGUUUCCCUUGGCUGGACUAGCCUGUAUUCAGUCUGGCUUUGGCAGCAAAAUUGACAGCGCAGAUCUUCUGACCAAAACAAGAUAAAGCGAAGCAAUAAAAACAUGACGCUGACCCCGCUGCGCUCUUGUGGAUCUAGAGUCUAAGAAGUGUGCUUUUUAAUGUUAUGAUGGAUUUAUUGACCCUUUAACCACUGUGCAUCCUAAUAACAGAAUAAAUCUUUCUUGAUAAGUCAUCAUGACAAAUCUUUGGGUCUGUUAACCAGAGAGAGACAAGCCAAAAUGCUCUCCCACUAUGAAGUUAGUGAGUGGUUUGGUAGUUGACGUGUGCAACAUCUGAAGGAGAUGAACAGCUUUUCAGUGGCUCCUUUGCUCAGUUGAUAAUAUUGGUCAUCAACGCAGCGAGUUAACCUUGUAUUUCCACAAACAAAGUUGAGAUUAUAAGAGUGUAAAGAAGUCAAACAUGUAAUCUAUGCUUAGAGUAAAACAGCUGCAGCAUGAACAGCUGGCAAAAACUCACUGACUGUAUAAUUAUAGUUAACAAGACUUGAUAUUAAAGCUUUGGCUAAAGGCUGUAUUUUAUAUUAUUAGGGAGAACUCAAUUGUAACUGAAAUAUUUUUGUGUUUCUUUCUUCUUUGUCAAAAAUGAAUCACACAAUUAGCAGCAUAAACAUGCCCCAAACCCGUCAAACUGUGUACACACAUCAGACUUUGCAUAUAGGAAAUAUUUUAUGGGUCCUGUGCAUAAUUUUGCAAAAAAGUUUAAUAUCUCCCCUUUUGAAAUGUCAAAAACAGACCCCAUAGAAGUGACUUUUUAUGAAAUUGAGUGUGCAUCACCUAUAUUGCAAAGGUUCAAAAAACCAAACCAACUUUGCUCCCUCACUCAAAACCUUAAAACCACCAUUCUGAUUUAAAUCUCAAAAUAAUACAGUUUUUUAGGGAUUUAUAGCAGUAAUAUUUGAUCUAAUUUACCCGGGGGUUUCAUUUCAUACUGCAGGCUGCUGUAGAUCCUUACACUUACACUUUGCUGAUGCAACACACCGCACAAUGUACAUGUAGGUGCAAGGGCCCAUUCACUAUUGUUUGUGUCUUUGCUUGUUGCUGUUACUGUUGUAUAAAAAUCCUGGGUGAGCUGUGUUAGUUUGCACGCUUUGCAAGUGUACUGUGCAGAAGAACUCUUGAGAUAAGUGUUUUUUCACGAACACCAGCAGCACAUAACUCCACGCCUCCCAUCAUUCAUCAAAAUCAAGUACACUUUAUCUCACUGAUGUCCUGCUGUGAGAGAAGAGAGAGAGCCAAAUGUGUCUUGGUUCUCUUCCAACUGAUGACAAAUAUCAAAGCAUCACCAGUGAUCAGACACACUACUAAAUCAUGAGGAUUUUUUAGGACUUGGCCCAAUAAAACAUUAAGGAGGGGUUUACUACACAGAUACACACACACACACACACACACACACACACACUGCUGCUGCUCGGUGCGGAAUUAGAAACAAACCGACCGUUACUACCAAUACUGCAUAACGAUCAGGUACAGAUUCACUGCCCUCAGCAGCCAUAAAAUACCUCCAUUUUCAUUAACCCUGAUGUGAACCUGCAGAACAAGAAAGAGGGGACUUAAUAGUGACAGCUGGGUGGACAGCUAAAUUUACAGUUGUGCCUUUUAAAUGCUUUACAGCUCUUAGUAUCUCUCAAACAUCCAGCCAUCCAAUAGAGGGACCCAUAAUUCAUAUCUGCUGCAACACUGAUCAUUUCCCCCUUUGUAAGGUGGCCAAAAAGUCCACAAAGAUAUGUAGAGAUGCAGGCAUUAGAGCAAAACAUCGACAUCUAAUAUGUACCUUGAGUUCAUCCUCACCUCGCCUGAUGACACUCAGUUUAACAGUUCCAUUAAACACAAGUGGGCCUGCAAAAUCCGCUGAUUUAUUCAUAACUUAGUGUUGCUGGAGCUCAGAUAAAAACCAGCUUGAAGCCAUUUUUCCCCAACGACACCGUGAUCAUUCUUAGUCAACAUCUCCGAGCUAGAAUAGGGUAUUUCACCAGAGCAGCACUGAGCAAGUUAUCAUCCCCACUCAGUGCUAAUCAUAUAAAAUCUGCCUGCGUGAAUGUAAGAAAGGAUUAAUAUAAGUAUGAAGGAGGAUCAUACACAUUCCCAUUUCUCCAUUUAUCUGGAUUAUCCUCAUCGUCUCUAGCUGCACGGACUCUGACACACAUUUUCCCACAGACACAUCUGUGACUGAAGUCAGAAACCCCACAGAGACCCACAAUUGUCUCCUCUCUAACCCUUGAAUUAUCCUCUUUGUCCGAUCUAUCCUCCCUUCCUCUGUUGAGCUUCUUCUUCUUCUUCUCCUUCAAGCAUGUAUCCAUCUUUCCAUCUCAAUCCAUCCCAGAAACGUUCCCAUUAAUUUAAUGGACCAGGGUCCUUGUGCAGCUGAGCAGAACGAGGCCCGCUUAGAUGCCCAAAUGCGUAACAACAGUAACACGCUGAACAACACAACAUCCACGCAUGCACACACUUAAAUAACACUCUUCACAUUCUACUUAUUGCACCCCACUUAGAGCUCCCAUACGUAAACAGGCAGCCAUGCGCUCAUGUCCUGAAAGCAUGGCUAUCCAUUUGCGGUGAUGAUCCUGCACCAAAAAGAAAACAAAUUAGAUUUACGUGUCCUGUGGAUGAACUGGCUAACCCUGUCAUAGCACUCUCUUAAUUAGCAACAAGAUCCAAGCAAGUGGCGGGGUGGGGCAUGAUGGGAUUGACUGGUUGAGGGAGGGAUGGGUAGAGGCUUUACCCUCUAUUACUCAUCUGCCAGCACUUGUAUCAAGGGAUGAUACAAAAGGGUAGUGGAGCACUGAAGCUCUCAUCUUUCCCCUCUAUCUAGGAUUCACAGAGAUAGCUCUCUCAGAGAAUAUUCCCAGCAUGGAUCUAUCUCUCUGCGUCUGUGCUGCUGCAGAGAAAGAACAGCCUCUUUUAAAUUUCUUCUAGGGAAUAUACUUUAUAUCCACGUCUCAUUUCCUCUCUACAAUUUGCAUCAAAGCUCACAAUUUUCCAGACGUUUUGAGAAGCUCGUUUUCUUGAAGCCCGGUCUCAUAUGUAGCACAGAACCGGCUACAUCACACACCAGUCUCUCUCUUUUUUUUUUUUUAAUCAUUAAUUUCCUACCACUAUCCUAUCCUUCGGAGCUCAUGCAAACUGCCUUGAUCCUCUCAGAGAGCAUGUAAGGGUGAGAUGGCAUCAAUCAUUGUAUCAUCAGUCUCAGUAUGAUCUCUGUCUAAUGAGCCUGGAAACAGCUGCUCACACAUGCUUUUCUGAAUAAUAGAUGCGAUGGGCCACUGCUUCCACAACUCAUCAUCCUGUAGCUUUCGUCUGCGCUCAGACUGAAUUGGCUCGAGAGGAGUGAGAAAAUGAAUCAUGGCUGUUCGAUAGAUACCGCGCUGUGAAUCAGUGUUAUUCUAGCUUGGUCUUUGGGGGUCUCGGAUGUGGAAGUAUGUAUGUACAUUUCCUAAGGAGCUCAAUGACUUGGAAUGAACUUAUAUAAUGCCUGAAAUGAACCUAUCUACCACAUACUGUUUAAAACAGGGAUGUAGUCUCUACGGCAUCACCCCCGGUUUCUGAACAGAGGUUUUAAAGCAAAACCUAAGCGGAAAAUGGAAAUCCAUCACAGGGGAUGUUGCACUUCUGAUAUUUAAGAGCAAAACUUGUUCUGAAUUUUGCAGCUUUGUGCCCUUUGCUCUUGUGUUGAGUUUGAUUAUGGAAAUGAGUUGUUAGCAUCUUUAAAGCUGUGCUGUGCAAUCUCAUCCUGACAGAGCUCAAUCUAUCCACAUAAAACCGAUAAACUAAAUGGGAAUGAACAUUUUAUUUACCACUAAGCUGGGAAGUUUAAUGAUGAAUGAUGAGCUACAAAUGUCAUUGCCAACAAGGCUUUGCCACUGGGGAGUGAGCCAGUAAGAGCAGCUUAUCCAGAUGACAAACACUCAUUUCUGUUCUGGAAAAUGGCUCAGACCGCCUCCAAACAUGUCAAA